GUCUUCACAACACACCGCCGCCUCAUCGACAUGAUGUAUAUAUGCGCUUCACCUGCCUCAAUGCUGCAAUAUUUUGUUGUCAUGGAAACCGAAGGGCCCUAUGAUGCCAACCCAACCCGUCUGGCCUGACGUGUCACCACUGUCAGAAAAAAAAAGUUUGACCCACUUCGCGUGUCCCCCCCCACCCACGCUUCAUCACCUUUGAGCAAUUAUGCGCCGUAAGGAGAAAAGGACUUGAAAAUUCACAAGAAGAAGAAAAAAAAAAUCGUACGGCUUCUCCGGUGAAAGCGCUGGUCCAAACCGCUACCGCCAGCGCCGGGGUGACUCACGGCUCCUGACAGCUGUAAACAGCGCUGUCACGGCCGGCCUCCCGCUCCCAUUAAAAUGUCUUCCCCGGCUCCUGCAAUUUUCCGAGCCGUCCCGCUUGCGUGUGCGACGACGGACGCCCUUCAGAGUAGAUGGGCUCAAUGGGACAGGCCAUUACCCACCGGCGGGCCAAUUGCCGACGACUCGACCGCGGCUCUUCCCUCCAGCCUCAUCGCGACGGCAGACGCCACACACAUCUCGCCCAGUGAUUCAUAUCGAGUAAACCUGCCCCGGCGUCUAUUUUAUUGUGACAUUUUUUUUUUCCUCCCUUCAGCUGCGGUUCAAUAUCUUGGCACGUCACCUCCUCCUCCCCCGAACUGAAACUUUUUUUUUCCCUCCUCCCCCUGUGCUGAAUCAGGACACCACCGGAAAAAAAAAAAGCUCCUUCGCUUUUGGCUCCCGCUGUCACGCGUGAUCUUCGCACACGAGAACUGCACGGGCCACAAUCACACGCAGGGCAUGUGAGGAGGAAAAAGCCACCCCUCGGCGGGGGGCCACCACGAAGCAACGUCCAAGGGGACAGCCGAGAAUCUCAACCAUGCAGUUCAAUGAGCUAUCAAGCGGGAUCGAGGAAAAACAACAGUUCCCAGAGGCACUUCAACAAAAAAAAAAAACUUUCCUGCCUUGCACUUUCUGACACUUAGAUCGCCCCCAUCUCGUCGGCUUUGGGCAUCUUGGAAUACGGAAAACGCCACACACAAAAAAACAAAACAAAACCCUCUUACAUAAUAAACUAGAAACCGAAACUCAAAA
Lepisosteus oculatus (spotted gar) is the source of this 1119-nucleotide long non-coding RNA. RefSeq lists it as uncharacterized. NCBI's taxonomy places the organism in Eukaryota, Metazoa, Chordata, Actinopteri, Semionotiformes, Lepisosteidae. The record is from RefSeq and is a predicted model, not a curated record.